RNAcentral lists this transfer RNA (78 nucleotides) under Candidatus Babelota bacterium. Its description in RNAcentral is "Candidatus Dependentiae bacterium tRNA-Arg". It matches the Rfam family "tRNA". From Rfam's summary of the family: Transfer RNA (tRNA) molecules are approximately 80 nucleotides in length. The record is from RNAcentral.
GCACGCGUAGCUCAAUUGGAUCAGAGCAUCAGCCUACGGAGCUGAGGGUUGCAGGUUCGAAUCCUGCCGUGUGCACCA